Molecule: ribosomal RNA, 192 nt
Filed under: uncultured bacterium
Lineage: Bacteria
Description: partial 16S ribosomal RNA
Rfam family: Bacterial small subunit ribosomal RNA
Source: RNAcentral
AACUCGACUACACGAAGCUGGAAUCGCUAGUAAUCGCGAAUCAGAAUGUCGCGGUGAAUACGUUCCCGGGUCUUGUACACACCGCCCGUCACACCAUGGGAGUCGGGGAAUACCCGAAGCCUGUGAGCUAACUUAUAGAGGCAGCAGUCGAAGGUAGAAUCAAUGAUUGGGGUGAAGUCGUAACAAGGUAAC